CACAGAAAUGACCUACAAAGC
This 21-nucleotide non-coding RNA is filed under the name Rattus norvegicus (Norway rat). The record is from RNAcentral. Lineage: Eukaryota; Metazoa; Chordata; Mammalia; Rodentia; Muridae.